RNAcentral lists this non-coding RNA (100 nucleotides) under human gut metagenome. RNAcentral describes it as "Glycine riboswitch". It matches the Rfam family "Glycine riboswitch aptamer", at positions 9 to 86 of the family's 94-position model. From Rfam's summary of the family: This family represents the bacterial glycine riboswitch. Glycine riboswitches usually consist of two metabolite-binding aptamers domains with similar structures in tandem. The aptamers cooperatively bind glycine to regulate the expression of downstream genes. The record is from RNAcentral.
AUUCUCUGGAGAGUCUCAAAAUGAGCGCCGAAGGUGUAAGCAUAAACAGAUAGCUUUUAGUUUGCUGUAUGCGAUCUCUCAGGCAAAAGGACAGAGCAGG